GAGGAGUGGCUUCCGGAGCUAACGCGUUAAGUCGACCGCCUGGGGAGUACGGCCGCAAGGUUAAAACUCAWAUGAAUUGACGGGGGCCCGCACAAGCGGUGGAGCAUGUGGUUUAAUUCGAUGCAACGCGAAGAACCUUACCUACUCUUGACAUCCASSGAAYUUKSCAGAGAUGSWUURGUGCCUUCGGGAACSSUGAGACAGGUGCUGCAUGGCUGUCGUCAGCUCKUGUUGUGAAAUGUUGGGUUAAGUCCCGCAACGAGCGCAACCCUUAUCCUUUGUUGCCAGCGAUUCGGUCGGGAACUCAAAGGAGACUGCCGGUGAUAAACCGGAGGAAGGUGGGGAUGACGUCAAGUCAUCAUGGCCCUUACGAGUAGGGCUACACACGUGCUACAAUGGCGCAUACAAAGAGAAGCGACCUCGCGAGAGCAAGCGGACCUCACAAAGUGCGUCGUAGUCCGGAUCGGAGUCUGCAMCUCGACUCCGUGAAGUCGGAAUCGCUAGUAAUCGUGGAUCAGAAUGCCACGGUGAAUACGUUCCCGGGCCUUGUACACACCGCCCGUCWCACCAUGGGAGUGGGUUGCAAAAGAAGUAGGUAGYUUAACCUUCCGGGAGGGCGCUUACCACUUUGUGAUUCAUGAC
Molecule: ribosomal RNA, 642 nt
Filed under: Pantoea sp. BAB-4881
Lineage: Bacteria; Pseudomonadati; Pseudomonadota; Gammaproteobacteria; Enterobacterales; Erwiniaceae
Description: partial 16S ribosomal RNA
Rfam family: Bacterial small subunit ribosomal RNA
Source: RNAcentral